AGGGGGUUUUUUAUGGGGUCGGGGGGGGUUGGGGUCAUAAGGGUUUUUUUGGGGGUCAUGGGGGGGGUUUGGGGGUCGGGGGGGUUGCGAUUUGGGGGUUUGAGGGGGGAUUUGGUGUCUUUGGGGGGGAUUUGGGGGUUUAUGGGGGGAUUUGGGGUCAGAGGGAUUUGGGGUCGGGGGAAUGUUUGGGGUGGGGGGGGAUAUUUGGAGUCAUUGGGGGGGAUUUGGGGUCAUUGGGGGGGUUUUGGGGUGUGUGGGGUUUUGGGGUGUCCCCCCCCCCCUGCUCCGCCCCCUGUUUUUGUAUGGGGCUGGGGUAAUAAAAGGGGUUUUGGGGUCUGAGCCCGGUGUCAUUGUUUUCGGGGGGGGCUUGGGGUGGCAGGGAUGGGGGGGGGGCUGUGGGGUGCUAUGGGGUGCCAUAGGGCGCUAUGGGGUGGGCACUAUGGGGUGCUGUGGGGUGCCAUAGGGUGUUAUGGGGCGGCCAUGGGAUGCUAUAGGGCGCUAUGUGGUAGUAUAGGGUGCCAUGGGGUGCUGCAAGGUGCUUUGGGGGGGGCUAUAGGGCCGCCAUGGGGCGCUAUGGGGUUGCUAUGGGGCGGCCAUAGGGCGCUAUGGGGCGGGCGCCUGGGCCCUGCCCCGCCCCUCCCGCGCAUGCGCCACGCCCCCCCGGGGGGCGGGGCCUCCUGAUCCUCCUCCCUCCCGAUUGGCCGCCGCCGCGCGUUCCCAUUGGCCGAGAGCGCCGGGGGCGGGGCUUCAGACCCGGAAGCGGCGCGAUGGCGCGGAGAGCGGGCCCCCCCCUGACCUUGACCCUGAGGGGGCUGCACCGGACCCGGAGCCUCCGGGGGGGGGAGGGGGGGGAGGAGGAGGAGCCCCCCCGGGGGAUGGUAAGGGGGGGAGGGGCGGGGGGGGGGGGGCAAAGGGUGGGGGAGGGGCAAAGGGUGGGGGAGGGGGGAAGUGGGGAAGGGGGAGGGGCACAGGGAGGGGGAGGGGCCUGGGGGUGGGGGAGGGGCAUUGAGGGGGGAGGGGGAAAACCGGAAGGAACCGGGGGGGGAGGGGCUCGGCGCGGUCGCGGUCACGGCGCCAGGGGGCGCUGGCCCCGCACUGCGGCCCUCAGGCCA
This 1112-nucleotide long non-coding RNA is filed under the name Cairina moschata (Muscovy duck). Its description in RNAcentral is "domestica (muscovy Duck (domestic type)) lncRNA (ENSCMMG00000009355.1)". The record is from RNAcentral. Lineage: Eukaryota; Metazoa; Chordata; Aves; Anseriformes; Anatidae.